UGUAGGCAUCUUGAGUAAACAAUGACACUAUGAUCCAGCAUGUGCUUCUCUGUGUGCUUUGGGGAUGUACAUUUUGUGGAAAUAAAAAAGAGAACUGUUUCUGCCGUUUUCCCAUGCAAGGAAGUCGAAGGUUUGGCCGUGGUUUGCCUGUUGGUUUCUAGCCCAAUGGCCUGGAUAAGCCACACGGAUGGGUGCUUUUGCUGUGAUGAACAUACCUCCUUUGCUAGUCCAGUGAAUCGGACCUAAUUAAAAUACAAGCUGUGGACCACAGAUGAUACAUCAUUGCUCAUUGUGUUACACCACCAUCUUCAAAAGUCUGAGCCUGAUGGAAGGUCCUUGCAUCCCCUGGUCCACAACGAAGAGUAUAAGGGUGCAAUGCACAGAUGCUUGGUUCUGAGCCCACCUGCCUGCCCACACACUGCCCGGCUCAAAAAAUGCAGCCAUCCUGCCAUGAAAUUCUGCCCAGGACACAAGAUCCUCACAAGCUGAAACUGCUCACAGUCACCAAGAAGAACAGGACACAGUGUCUUCCAAAGAUUUGCCUUUAUCUUUGCAAGGAACAUAGAAUAAAAUGAGCUCCUCCCUCUGCAUGGCCAUUUUUCCUGUCUCGAAAAUGCUCCCGCUAAGCCU
Molecule: long non-coding RNA, 630 nt
Organism: Ailuropoda melanoleuca (giant panda)
Lineage: Eukaryota; Metazoa; Chordata; Mammalia; Carnivora; Ursidae
Exons: 3
Source: RefSeq, a predicted model, not a curated record